GAUGAAGAACGCAGCAAAAUGCGAUAAGUAAUGUGAAUUGCAGAAUUCAGUGAAUCAUCGAAUCUUUGAACGCACAUUGCGCCAGCCAGUAUUCUGGCGGGCAUGCCUGUUCGAGCGUCAUUUCAACCCUCAAGCACAGCUUGGUGUUGGGACUCGCGUUAAUUCGCGUUCCUCAAAUUGAUUGGCGGUCACGUCGAGCUUCCAUAGCGUAGUAGUAAAACCCUCGUUACUGGUAAUCGUCGCGGCCACGCCGUUAAACCCCAACUUCUGAAUGUUGACCUCGGAUCAGGUAGGAAUACCCGCUGAACUUAAGCAUAUCAAUAAGCGGAGGA
This 332-nucleotide unclassified non-coding RNA is filed under the name soil metagenome. Its description in RNAcentral is "partial contains 5.8S ribosomal RNA, internal transcribed spacer 2, and large subunit ribosomal RNA". The stretch from base 1 to 120 matches the Rfam family "5.8S ribosomal RNA", at positions 35 to 154 of the family's 154-position model. The record is from RNAcentral.